This is a long non-coding RNA of Alosa sapidissima (American shad), 550 nucleotides long. RefSeq lists it as uncharacterized. The transcript has 3 exons. The record is from RefSeq and is a predicted model, not a curated record. NCBI's taxonomy places the organism in Eukaryota, Metazoa, Chordata, Actinopteri, Clupeiformes, Clupeidae.
CAUGUCUGGCUAUUCACGGAUUUGAGCUGCGCGUCUCCGCUCGAGUCGCGCGUACACGGAAACCCUGGCAACUAGAGAGUGAAAAAGCAAAGGAGAGAACCUCUGGGGGGCGGGAGCGCUCCGGUACGGUGCCAGUUUUUGAAGGAGCCUGUCGGAUCGGAUGUGAACUGCCUUUGAGAGCACAACCAAGAGCUCCAAGAACAAAGAGGGAGUGGGCUGUUGAUGGAAUGAUGAAAUCCUCCUGUUCUGGGACUCACUCUGCCAGUCUUCUCCUUUGCCAGGUUGCUCAUUAAUCUCCAGGAUGAAAGGUGUCAUUAAACUGACAUGGAAAGAAGCCAUUAGUCCCUCAUGACUACUUAGGUGAUCACAGUGGAGGAGAUAUUUUAAGUUCUGUUUUUGAGUGCAUUGAAUACAUGAGAGAAGAAUCGUAAGGUUCCUGUUAGCUUUUGUUUAGAUCCCUGAUAUGGUCAGCUAUGUUGUUCUUGUGGACUUCCAUGACAGUUCAGUUGCCUUAGAGAAAGCUUAUGCAAUUAGAGAAAAAAAAUAUACU